RNAcentral lists this ribosomal RNA (2259 nucleotides) under Triticum aestivum (bread wheat). RNAcentral describes it as "partial small subunit ribosomal RNA". Lineage: Eukaryota; Viridiplantae; Streptophyta; Magnoliopsida; Poales; Poaceae. The record is from RNAcentral.
AUGAUGAUGGUUAUGAGCCAUUGUCAUUUGUGCUGCCAAAGAAAAGGAAGAGCAGGGCAAAGCAGAGGCCUCCUAGAAAAUGGUACAAUGAGAAAAUGGAGGCACCACAUGAGCAAUUAUGUCUACAGAUGUGUUUCAAGGAUCAACAUCAGAGAGGCUUUGUUGAACUUACACAUCACUCAAGGCAGAAACUUCAAAUAUCAUAGGAACUCAGAUCAAAGAAUAAUUGUAGAAUGCAACCAAAAACAUUGCAACUUCUUUAUGGUGGCAUCAGUUAUAAAAGGUGAAACUACUUUUGUAAUUAAGAAGAUGAGAAUUAAGCACACUUGCCCUAUUAGUACAGAGACAACAAGGGUAAGUGCCAAGUGGCUUGCACAGAAGUAUGAGUCACUGUUCAGAUCUGAUCUAACAACUGGCAUUCAGACUUUGAUUGAUGCCUGCAUGGAGAAGUAUGGUGUGGAUGUGCCCAAGUCAAUGGCAUAUAGGGCAAAGAACCUAGCUAUUGAUGUUGUGCUAGGAGACCACAAGAAGCAAUACCCUAGGUUGAAAGACUAUGCUCAGACAGUGAUGGAUACAAACCCUGGGAGUAGAGUAGUAGUCACUACUGUAACUCCAACACCCACUGAAAAAAUCCCCCAUCCAGGUCCAAGAUUCCAUGCUAUGUUCUAUUGCAUCAAUGGAGCAAGGGAGGGGUUUCUCAAGGGGUGCAGACCAUUCAUUGGUGUUGAUGGGUGCUUCAUUAAGUUAACUACUGGUGCUCAACUACUUGCUGCCACUGGUAGAGAUGGCAAUAACAAUAUAUACCCACUAGCAUUUGGUAUUGUUGGGCAAGAGGACACACCUAACUGGUGUUGGUUUCUACACCAACUUAAAAUCUGCCUAGGAGGAGAAGUGGGAAGGUUUGGUCCAUAUACAAUAAUGUCAGAUAGACAAAAGGGCCUACUAAAUGCAGUGAAUGUUGUCUUUCCUAAGUGCAACCAAAGGUUCUGCCUUAGGCAUAUCUAUGCAAACUUCCAAAAUGCUGGGUUUAGGGGGGAAGAUCUGAAAAAGUGUAUGGAUAAUGCUGCCUAUGCAUAUAGUGAACACAAAUUUAACAUUGCAAUGAAUGACCUUAGAGCUGAGUGUGAGCAAGCUUGGGAGUGGCUUUGUCAAAUACCCAAGAAAACAUGGGCAAGGCAUGCAUUUGACACAAACUGCAAGACUGACCUUGUAGUUAACAAUUUAUCUGAGGUGUUCAACAAGUAUGUCCUAGAUGUUAGGAAGAAACCAAUUAGGACAAUGUGUGAUGGAAUAAAGGAUAAGCAGAUGGUGAGGUGGCAUAGGAAUAGGGAGAGUGGAAAGAAAGCUAUAUGGGACAUAACACCCCAUUAUAGUGAGAAGCUAGAGGUUGAGAAGGAGAGGGCCAAAUAUUGCAAACCAAUUCAAGCUAGUGUGGACUUGUGGCAAGUUACAAGUGGGCAGCAAACCCAUGCUGUUAACUUGCAAAUGCACACAUGUGGGUGCAGAAAAUGGGACCUAAGUGGCAUCCCAUGUAACCAUGCCAUCUCAGCAAUUAACAAGGCCAAAAGAAAACCAGAGGAUUAUGUCAGCAAGUUCUUCAAGAAAGAAAUUUAUCUGGCAGCUUAUGAACCAAUGAUCUAUCCAGUUCCUGGUGAGCAUGACUGGACAAGGACCCCUGGUCCAGACAUUGACCCACCUGCAUUUAAAGUGAAGAGAGGAAGAAAGAAAGAGAAGAGGAUCAAGGGGAGAUUUGAAGUUCCAAAGCCUAAGGACACAUCUAGAAUGGGGACUAUAACAUGUGGCAAUUGUGGACUGCAAGGACAUAGGUACACAAGCUGCAACAAGCAGUUGAAGCCUGAGCUGGCUUUGAGGAAGAACAAACAUGUGCCUCUUGCAAGGAAUUCCAAUGCUGGUGCUGCUGCUACUACACAAGCAUCAAGAACUUCUCAUCCAGCUCCUACAACAACACCAACAGCUGGAACAGGAGCUGGGAGAGGAGCUGGGAGAGGAGCUGGGAGAGGGGCUGCAGCUGCAGCUGCUGGGAGUGGUGCUGCUAGAGGUGCUGGUAGAGGUGCUGGGAGAGGUGCUGCACCAGGUGCUGGGAGAGGUGCUGGGAGAGGGAGAGGUACAUUCUCUGCCCCAAGGCAAUCUGGUCCCUCCACAUCUACUGCUCCCUCUACAUCUACUGCUACUCCACCUUCUGGUGGUGGUAGAAACAGAGGAUGGAGAGCCUACUUCUAUGCAAGUGGUAACCACUAA